RNAcentral lists this ribosomal RNA (526 nucleotides) under Escherichia coli. RNAcentral's name for it is "partial 23S ribosomal RNA". It matches the Rfam family "Bacterial large subunit ribosomal RNA", at positions 1358 to 1869 of the family's 2925-position model. Lineage: Bacteria; Pseudomonadati; Pseudomonadota; Gammaproteobacteria; Enterobacterales; Enterobacteriaceae. The record is from RNAcentral.
UCCAACGUUAAUCGGGGCAGGGUGAGUCGACCCCUAAGGCGAGGCCGAAAGGCGUAGUCGAUGGGAAACAGGUUAAUAUUCCUGUACUUGGUGUUACUGCGAAGGGGGGACGGAGAAGGCUAUGUUGGCCGGGCGACGGUUGUCCCGGUUUAAGCGUGUAGGCUGGUUUUCCAGGCAAAUCCGGAAAAUCAAGGCUGAGGCGUGAUGACGAGGCACUACGGUGCUGAAGCAACAAAUGCCCUGCUUCCAGGAAAAGCCUCUAAGCAUCAGGUAACAUCAAAUCGUACCCCAAACCGACACAGGUGGUCAGGUAGAGAAUACCAAGGCGCUUGAGAGAACUCGGGUGAAGGAACUAGGCAAAAUGGUGCCGUAACUUCGGGAGAAGGCACGCUGAUAUGUAGGUGAAGUCCCUCGCGGAUGGAGCUGAAAUCAGUCGAAGAUACCAGCUGGCUGCAACUGUUUAUUAAAAACACAGCACUGUGCAAACACGAAAGUGGACGUAUACGGUGUGACGCCUGCCCGGUGC